This 253-nucleotide ribosomal RNA is filed under the name uncultured bacterium. Its description in RNAcentral is "partial 16S ribosomal RNA". It matches the Rfam family "Bacterial small subunit ribosomal RNA", at positions 524 to 776 of the family's 1533-position model. The record is from RNAcentral.
UACAGAGGUGGCAAGCGUUGUUCGGAAUUACUGGGCGUAAAGGGCGCGUAGGCGGCCUUGUAAGUCCCGUGUGAAAGCCCCCGGCUCAACUGGGGAAUUGCACGGGAAACUGCGGGGCUUGAGUUCGGGAGAGGGAAGCGGAAUUCCGGGUGUAGCGGUGAAAUGCGUAGAUAUGCGGAGGAACACCGAUGGCGAAGGCAAUCCCCUGGGCCUGCACUGACGCUCAUGCACGAAAGCGUGGGGAGCAAACAGG